This 259-nucleotide unclassified non-coding RNA is filed under the name plant metagenome. Its description in RNAcentral is "partial contains small subunit ribosomal RNA, internal transcribed spacer 1, and 5.8S ribosomal RNA". The record is from RNAcentral.
CGUAGGUGAACCUGCGGAAGGAUCAUUAUUGUAUAACCGAGGUGCGAGGGCUGUCGCUGACCCGAAAGGUCGUGCACGCCCGAGUGCCCUCACACACAUCCAUCUCACCCCUAUGUGCACCACCGCGUGGGUCCCCCUUUGGCUUGUUCGGAGGGGGGCUUACGCUUUCACACAAACUUUGUAUGCAGUGUAGAAUGUAUUUUUUGUUUUUGCGAUCACGCAAUCAAUACAACUUUCAACAACGGAUCUCUUGGCUCUC